AACGAACGCUGGCGGCAUGCCUAACACAUGCAAGUCGAACGAGACCUUCGGGUCUAGUGGCGCACGGGUGCGUAACGCGUGGGAACCUGCCCUUAGGUUCGGAAUAACUCCCCGAAAGGGGUGCUAAUACCGGAUAAUGUCUUCGGACCAAAGAUUUAUCGCCUUUGGAUGGGCCCGCGUUGGAUUCGCUAGUUGGUAGGGUAAAAGCCUACCAAGGCGACGAUCCAUAGCUGGUCUGAGAGGAUGAUCAGCCACACUGGGACUGAGACACGGCCCAGACUCCUACGGGAGGCAGCAGUGGGGAAUAUUGGACACUGGGCGAAAGCCUGAUCCAGCAAUGCCGCGUGAGUGAUGAAGGCCUUAGGGUUGUAAAGCUCUUUUACCCGGGAUGAUAAUGACAGUACCGGGAGAAUAAGCUCCGGCUAACUCCGUG
Molecule: ribosomal RNA, 433 nt
Filed under: uncultured bacterium
Lineage: Bacteria
Description: partial 16S ribosomal RNA
Rfam family: Bacterial small subunit ribosomal RNA
Source: RNAcentral